UUAAUUUUGGCUCCUACCCAUGAUGAUGAUGAUGAUGAUGAUCUGGGUUGUCAGGGUCUGAAGGCCAGAAGGAAGAGAACUUCAACCAUUCUGCUUCAUGAGGGUUUGGAAUGGAGGACUCCUGCAGUUGGCAACCAGAUACCUGUGAUUAGGGUUCUGACAAUAAGAACAAAUAUAUAUAAAAAAUGAAAUUUGGAAG
This 199-nucleotide long non-coding RNA is filed under the name Linum usitatissimum (flax). RNAcentral's name for it is "long non-coding RNA (LUSI_LNC000008)". Lineage: Eukaryota; Viridiplantae; Streptophyta; Magnoliopsida; Malpighiales; Linaceae. The record is from RNAcentral.